This 85-nucleotide transfer RNA is filed under the name Felis catus (domestic cat). It matches the Rfam family "tRNA". Rfam says of the family: Transfer RNA (tRNA) molecules are approximately 80 nucleotides in length. Their secondary structure includes four short double-helical elements and three loops (D, anti-codon, and T loops). Lineage: Eukaryota; Metazoa; Chordata; Mammalia; Carnivora; Felidae. The record is from Rfam by way of RNAcentral.
GCCUGGGUGGCUCAGUCAGUUGAGCGUCUGACUUCAGCUCAGGUCAUGAUCUCACAGUUCGUGGGUUCAAGCCCCACGUCGGGCU